RNAcentral lists this ribosomal RNA (494 nucleotides) under uncultured bacterium. RNAcentral's name for it is "partial 16S ribosomal RNA". It matches the Rfam family "Bacterial small subunit ribosomal RNA", at positions 28 to 507 of the family's 1533-position model. The record is from RNAcentral.
GACGAACGCUGGCGGCGUGCUUAACACAUGCAAGUCGAACGGUGAAGCGCCUUCCUUUUUGGUGGGUGUGGAUGAGUGGCGAACGGGUGAGUAACACGUGAGUAACCUGCCCCCUUCUUCUGGAUAACCGCAUGAAAGUGUGGCUAAUACGGGAUAUUCUGGGUCUGUCGCAUGAUGGGUCUGGGAAAGAUAUUGUUUCGGUGGGGGAUGGGCUCGCGGCCUAUCAGCUUGUUGGUGGGGUGAUGGCCUACCAAGGCGGUGACGGGUAGCCGGCCGGAGAGGGUGGACGGUCACAAUGGGACUGAGACACGGCCCAGACUACUACGGGACGCAGCAGUGGGGAAUAUUGCACAAUGGGCGCAAGCCUGAUGCAGCGACGCCGCGUGAGGGAUGGAGGCCUUCGGGUUGUGAACCUCUUUCGCCAGUGAAGCAGGCCUGCCUCGUUUGUGGGUGGGUUGACGGUAGCUGGAUAAGAAGCGCCGGCUAACUACGUG